CUAGAACUGAAUCAAGGGAGAGAGAGCAGUCCUCCUCCACCUGAGAAGAAUAUAUCCAUCUUUGCUUCAGAUGGGCAGGGCAUUGCCAUUAGACUCUCCAAGCAGGUAGCCAGCUCCAGCAAUAGACUGAGACAGGCAAUAAAAGAAUACAACAGCAUUCAAUGGUCACCGCAGAUGAGCUUCUUACCUGCGACAAUUGAUUUUCAGGAAUCAUGUGAUCCCUCUUGGCAUGUCUACUUCUGCUUUGAUGACACUAUUGAAGAAGAUGAUGUUUCGAGGAGGCGAGGGAUUGAUGCCUUACAUAUGAAGACUCAUUCAACGCUUCCAACAGCUGGAAAGAAAACUACAUCAAGCCAUUGUGAUGUUUCACCCACAUGUAUCAGACUUUGUUCCUGCAGACAACCCCCACUUGUGUCAGGCCCUCCCCAUGCCAAGCAUACAGACACUGGUAUACAAUGAUAAGAGUGAUAAUGAUAAUGUGGAUAAAUAUGAUAACUACGGAGAUCAUUGUGUUUGGCUCGCCCGAUGUUCUGGAAAAUUCUUUUGGAAAUUCUGGUAUUUUAUCUUCUUCGGUCAAAUCAAGUGUAAAAAACUUAGGUGUAUUUUUCGAUAGGCAAAUAAAUGCAGUUGUAAAAGCGAGUUUUUACCAAUUAAGAAUGCUGGCUAAAGUGAAGACCUUUCUUUCUUUUAAACACUUAGAAAUUGCAACCCACGCUUUUAUUUCGUCCAGAAUUGAUUAUUGUUAUGCGCUGUAUGUGGGAAUAAAUAGCUCGUUAAUAGCGAGAUUACAAAUGGUUCAAAAUUCCGCUGCGCGGCUGUUAACCGGCGUUCGUAAAUACGAACAUAUUUCUCCUGUGCUAAUGUCUUUACAUUGGCUUCGGGUACAGUGUAGAAUUGAUUUUAAAGUGCUUUUGCUCGUUUUUAAAUCGUUAAAUGGACUCGCUCCCCUCUACCUCUCGGAUUUGUUGGGUGAAUAUCGUCCAGAAAGAACUCUUCGGUCUGCCAACCAGAAUCUGUUAACUGUUCCAAAGUCCAAAUUAAAAUCUAGGGGUGACCGAGCUUUUGCCAUAGCCGCACCUAAACUUUGGAACACUUUACCGCUUCAUAUAAGAAUAUCCCCAACAUUACAUAUUUUUAAAUCUAAGUUAAAAACAUACUUUUUUACUAAGGCCUAUGACUCGUGAUGAUAUUUGUUGUCUGAUGUUGAUGUGGUUUGUAUAUUUGUGUUUUUUUUAAUUAGUCAUUAUCUCAUUGUACAGCACAUUGGUCAACUGGAGUUGUUUUUAAUCGUGCUUUAUAAAUAAAUUGAGACUUGAGACUUGAACUAGCACUACAGAUAUUUUUUUUAAUUUCUAGUCUGAUAUUGUAUUCUGUAAAAAGAAUGAUGUAAAUGUAUAGUAUAUGUUGCAGCAUAUCAUAGAAACCUUUAUGGUGGUGUAAUAUAAUGCUCGCCUUACUUGUGCAAACAUGAUGUUUUACUAGGUCUGAUUUAUUUUAAAGCGUAGGUACUGUUUUUAAGCACACAUAAUCACACUAGUCUGUGUGAGGACAAAAUUGUGUGUUUACCAUUGUGAUGUUACUUAUUUACUGUAAUGUACAAAUGUGUGUAAGGUGUUUUGUUUUUGUGUGCUAAGUUGAAAUGACAAAGUAUUGAAUCUUGAAUCCUUUGAAACAAAUACUGUAAAAGUUUGUAAAAAAUAAAAUGUUUUCCACAAUGA
Paramisgurnus dabryanus is the source of this 1718-nucleotide non-coding RNA. The record is from RefSeq and is a predicted model, not a curated record. Lineage: Eukaryota; Metazoa; Chordata; Actinopteri; Cypriniformes; Cobitidae.